AGAUUUGAUCAUGGCUCAGAACGAACGCUGGCGGCAGGCCUAACACAUGCAAGUCGAACGCGACCUUCGGGUCGAGUGGCGCACGGGUGAGUAACGCGUGGGAAUCUGCCCUGUGGUACGGAAUAACACCGGGAAACUGGUGCUAAUACCGUAUGUCCCCUGAGGGGGAAAGAUUUAUCGCCAUGGGAGGAGCCCGCGUA
Molecule: ribosomal RNA, 200 nt
Filed under: uncultured bacterium
Lineage: Bacteria
Description: partial 16S ribosomal RNA
Rfam family: Bacterial small subunit ribosomal RNA
Source: RNAcentral